Molecule: small nuclear RNA, 285 nt
Filed under: Erinaceus europaeus (western European hedgehog)
Lineage: Eukaryota; Metazoa; Chordata; Mammalia; Eulipotyphla; Erinaceidae
Description: 7SK RNA
Rfam family: 7SK RNA (bases 1-171)
About the family: 7SK was discovered as an abundant small nuclear RNA in the mid-70s but a possible function has only recently been suggested. Two independent studies have found that 7SK RNA binds the CDK9/cyclin T complex (known as elongation factor P-TEFb). P-TEFb activates transcription by phosphorylating the C-terminal domain of RNA polymerase II.
Source: Rfam by way of RNAcentral
UAAUGUGAGCUUGACCUGGCUGCAAUUUCUCUCACCCCACUAAUCACCACCAGCAUUGAUUCAGCUGAGUAGGGGGGUGUCCCUUUCCUCCCUCACUGCUCAUGUAAAGUGUCCCCUGCUGGCUAAAAGAAGAAAACCAUCCUUAAUUAGAGACAGUAGAUAGUUCCUCUCCUGGCAGUAUAGCCUAAAGGUAAAGAUACAGAGAACAGUAUAUGAUUAUUUGUAACUGUUGUGCAGAUACUUGUAGGAGAGAGGGAUAAGGUGCUAGAUAGCUUACCUGGAUAC